UACCCUUGACAUGCCAGGAACCCUCCAUCUCUGGAGGGUUCCUGGCAUGUCAAGGGUAGGUAAGGUUUUUCGCGUUGCAUCGAAUUAAUCCACAUAAUCCACCGCUUGUGCGGGUCCCCGUCAAUUCCUUUGAGUUUUAACCUUGCGGCCGUACUCCCCAGGCGGUCAACUUCACGCGUUAGCUUCGUUACCAAGGAAUUGCUUCCCCGACAACCAGUUGACAUAGUUUAGGGCGUGGACUAC
Molecule: unclassified non-coding RNA, 243 nt
Filed under: uncultured Gammaproteobacteria bacterium
Lineage: Bacteria; Pseudomonadati; Pseudomonadota; Gammaproteobacteria
Description: contains 16S-23S intergenic spacer region
Source: RNAcentral